Molecule: long non-coding RNA, 1355 nt
Organism: Micropterus salmoides (largemouth bass)
Lineage: Eukaryota; Metazoa; Chordata; Actinopteri; Centrarchiformes; Centrarchidae
Exons: 7
Source: RefSeq, a predicted model, not a curated record
UUCAUUCCUAUGUUUAGACAGAAAUUGUAUUUGAAGGUAAACUACAUUAAAUGUAGAGGGUUUUUCCACAGGCUAAAAACACCAGGGUAAUACACCGCCAUCAACAUCUCAUCUCUAUCCCUGCACAACUUCACCUGUAUGAGUGUAAUCAAAUAUAGCUCUAAUCAUGAGAGAAUGCUGCGUCCUGUCUGCUGUGUCGAUUUUAAAUGAGCCUUAUAAAACAAUAAUUUGAUAAUAGUGGCUGACAGGCAUGCAUAUUGGUUCAUAUCUGGUCAUGUAUUCUGUUUUGGCAGCAUUAGAGACCUCCGGGUAUCAAGCCCCAUUGGUCCGGACAGGUGAUUUUGGACGAUCCAGCUACCUAAUCACUGAAGAACACCUGAGAUUCCUGCUUUCAUGUGGAUUUGUAGCUACGCAAAUUGCUGAAAUCCUGGAUGUAUCAGUCAGUGCAGUUAAACGAAGAUUGAGGCGCUUCAACUUGCCCUACCUGAUGAGGUCUGCACGUCUUUCUAAUGCAGAACUUGAUGAAGUCAAGUCAAGCUGCAGUCGGUUGGAGAAAAUGAAGAGAUGGGAGCAAAUGCUGUUUUGGCCAGACUGGCUGCUAUGGCUGUUUGAGUGCAGAGGAGAAGAGUGAGAGAGAGUUUGAUUGGAGUGAAUCCAGAGCGUUGUCUCACCGACUGCACCGGAGAACCUACAGUGCUGCAGGACCCAACUCGCUGUGGCACAUAGAUGGGAACCACAAACUCAUCAGAUGGAGAAUAGUGAUCCAUGGCGGAAUCUGUGGCUUCAGCAGGCCGGUUGUGUUUUUGCAGGCUUCAGAUAAUAACAGAAGUUGCACAGUGUUUGACCAGUUUGUUCAAGCCACUGCUAGGUAUGGAGUCUCGAAUAAGGUGUGACCAUGGGGGAGAAAACAAUGCUGUCUGCUUGUUCAUGAACAUUUACCGUGGAUUAGAAAGAGGAAGUGCCAUCCGGGGCAGAAGUGUCCAUAACCAGCGGAUGGAGAGGCUUUGGGGAGAUCUCUGGAGAGGAUUAUACAACAGUUUCUUGCCAGUCUCUUUGCCAACUCUGGAUUCCCUAGCUUACCUCCCCUCUCAAGGACGGUAUCCUGCACUCUAAUCCAGGGGAUAAUGAAUCCCUGAGGAAUGAGAGGGUUAGAUGCCGUGAUAACACAGACUGCUGUGUGCAGUGUCCAGUGCACAGAGAACUUCGCAGUGGGAGAGCCAUUCAGACAGCUGCCCUGUAACCACUUCUUUCAUUCAGAAUGGAUAGUACCAUGGCUGGAACUGAGGAGGUGUGCAGUGGCAACGGACCAGCAACGGACCCCUCGGCAACCGGUCCGGACCACAAGGACCGCGUGG